This 741-nucleotide ribosomal RNA is filed under the name uncultured Eubacterium sp. RNAcentral's name for it is "bacterial SSU rRNA". It matches the Rfam family "Bacterial small subunit ribosomal RNA", at positions 105 to 859 of the family's 1533-position model. The record is from RNAcentral. Lineage: Bacteria; Bacillati; Bacillota; Clostridia; Eubacteriales; Eubacteriaceae.
GGUGAGUAACACGUAAGCAACCUGCCUAUUAGAGGGGAAUAACAGCGAGAAAUCGUUGCUAAUACCGCAUAUGCUGUGAGUAUCGCAUGAUACAAGCAGGAAAGGAGCAAUCCGCUAAUAGAUGGGCUUGCGUCUGAUUAGUUAGUUGGUGGGGUAACGGCCUACCAAGACGAUGAUCAGUAGCCGGACUGAGAGGUUGAACGGCCACAUUGGGACUGAGAUACGGCCCAGACUCCUACGGGAGGCAGCAGUCGGGAAUAUUGCGCAAUGGAGGAAACUCUGACGCAGUGACGCCGCGUGCAGGAAGAAGGUUUUCGGAUUGUAAACUGCUUUUAACAGGAAAGAAAAAAAUGACGGUACCUGUUGAAUAAGCUCCGGCUAACUACGUGCCAGCAGCCGCGGUAAUACGUAGGGAGCGAGCGUUAUCCGGAUUUAUUGGGUGUAAAGGGUGCGUAGACGGAAAUGCAAGUUAGUUGUGAAAUACCUCGGCUUAACUGAGGAACUGCAACUAAAACUAUAUUCCUUGAGUAUCGGAGGGGUUUGUGGAAUUCCUAGUGUAGCGGUGAAAUGCGUAGAUAUUAGGAAGAACACCGGUGGCGAAGGCGACAAACUGGACGAUAACUGACGUUGAGGCACGAAAGUGUGGGGAGCAAACAGGAUUAGAUACCCUGGUAGUCCACACCGUAAACGAUGGAUACUAGGUGUUGGCAAUGAAUAAUUGUCGGUGCCGGCGCUAACGCA